AGACAGACUCCAUCUGACAACCUGCAAGCAGCCAGCAAGCCCUUCCUGCUCUCUAGUGGACACAGCUGGGAGGUGCAUGCGCUGAUGUAGCCUCGCUGCAGGCGGAGCUGCCUACCUCAAGGUCUUCUGAAAGCCACUGUGCACUAGGCUGUACACUCUGUCUUCUUAGAGAAUUCUCAGCAGUCCUUCAAAGUCUUCCUUAUCAUCCGCAUCUCACAGACGGAGAUCCUAAGGCUUAGAGGCGUUUCCUGAACUACUGGCCCACCAGGGAAGCCCUGCUUCAACUUUAAGAUAGGGACAAUGAUGGGAUCUGUCUCCAUAGGGUUGUGUCCCUCCUUCCCAUGAAGAGGCCCCAAGAUCUCAGCCUGAGGACUCAGAAAUGUAGCAGCCAUGUCAGACCAGCCACUGGAGAAGGGUCCUGGGAGACACGCAGCAGACGACAUCACCCCAAACCCUCAGAUCCCAGAGGCCAUGCCAAUGGGGCUGCUGGCAUCUGGGAAGCCACGUUGACCACCAGGAGCCCGAGCUCCCAAGUCUCUUCGGGAUGAGAAGGGGGGAUCCUCUCCUGCCCCGCUGGAGGUGCUGGCCGCCGAAGCGAGGUGGGGCUCUGUCUGCCCUCCCUGAUUGCUUGUCAGCAACGGAGAAACACUUCCAGAGCCUGGAAAACCAUGAAAUGAUGAAAGGACAGCUUGUUCCAGAGAGCGGGAGUCAAAAGAACUGAACCCAGACCAAUAAGCAGGAUUCAAUAGAUAACUUGGGGGACCCAAUACAACACAAAAAUGCUGGGCCCCUGGUUCGAAAAGUAUUCAAAAUUUCAAGAAGGCAACAAUAAAGCUUUUAACCAAGCAUGGAGCCUCCUAUGUGUGGGCCCCUCUGAGCACAGGGCCCUGUGUGAUACAUGAUCACAGGCCCCAGCAGGCCACCCUGCCUGGAGCCAUCAUUUACUAAGCGCCUACCAUGGGCUAGACUCUUUAUAUGCAGUAUCUCAUUUAAUUCUCAAAUAGCUCAUUGAGGUAGGCAUGUAUAUGUCCUCCUCACAGAUGAGCAAAUUUAGGCUCAGAGAAGUUAAACCCUUUGCCCAAGGGCACAGAAGCUAAUGAGCAGUGAUCAGUCACUCAGUCGUGUCCAAUUCUUUCUGACCCUUUGGACAGCAGCCCACCAGGCUCCUCUUUUAGGCAAGAAUACUGGAGUGGGUUGCUGUUUCCUUUUCCCGAUCUUCCCGACCCAGGGAUCAAACCUGCGUCUUCUGUGUCUCCUGCGUUGUAGGCAGAUUCUUUACCUGAUGAGCCAUGAGGGAAGCCCAGUAAGUGGUAUGUGAAUACAGAUUUUUCCAAGGCUAGAGCCUGUGUUCUUCUCUUGAGUGGUGCUGCCUCUGAUGGGCGGUCUCUGGGGGCUGCUGGGAGCAUGACCUCCGAGUGAGGGCACCCUGAGGUUGUGGCUGAGACUCCCUCCCCUGGCUUGACCUGCCCUAUGCUGGGCUCUGGU
Bos taurus (domestic cattle) is the source of this 1485-nucleotide long non-coding RNA. Lineage: Eukaryota; Metazoa; Chordata; Mammalia; Artiodactyla; Bovidae. The record is from Ensembl.